UCCCCUUGGCCGCCGCCCCCCUGCCCAUCUCUUCCUCUCUCAAUUUUUGCAGCCACCAAACCCUAGCCGCCCCCCCUCCCAAUCCCCUCCUCCCAAGGUGCCAAUCCUUGCCGCUCGGAUCAUCGUCGUCGUGGUGCGAGUCUUCAAUCGUUUUGGUGGAGGGAAGAAGGGAGGAAGGAAAGGGGAGAAUCCAAGGUGGUGGACUUCCGGAUCGUACUUAGGGAUUUGCCCGAACUUCCGGUAAAGGCAAGUAAAUACAGUGGUGGUUGCUACCGUUUGGUUUGCAUCCUAUUCCCUGUCAUUGAGUAUGCAUAAGUUUUAAUUAUGUUAAUCAUUGAAUUCUAUGAUGAAGUUUAUUUGUUUGGAAGUAUUAAUUCUCAAUUGUCUAAUAUUGUGGAUGAUCAUAAUUUGGUAAUGAUAUAUGUGGUUGAUUCCCAUCUGGAUGAAGUUGAAGUGUCUUUUGAAUCAUGUUAUAUGAAGUGUUGUAGGCAUGACAUGCACAUCGCAUCAUUCAUCUUGCAUUUUGAAGUUAUGUCGUGAUCUUAUGGUCCGACCGUACCGGUACAUUUUUAGCAUCGUACGUUGCCCGAGGAGGGGUACGAUGCGGCUUCAUAUCCUUAGAGGUAUGAAGGCAGAAGUCAUCCUUGCAUUUGCAGACAUUUGCACUCAUGAGGAAUAUAUGAAGUGUGACAUUACUAUGUUACUAUUGUGGUUUCUACCUGCGAGGUGUGGUAACUAGGUGCGUUGUACGUUGUAUACGUGUUGCACCUUCGUAAUAGGAAGGUUGUGGAAUCAAGUGGUGGUAAAACAAUGUUCUUAUGUGGUUAAACUGUUUGAUAUUAUUUUACUUGCUGAGAUGUGUCAUCUCACUCUUGCAUUACUCAAUGCAGGUACUUGAUACAUGUUGGGAAUGAGGGGAGUAGCAGCACGUCCACUUUCACUCUCACAAUAACGCUGCCCAGGCGCAGCCAUGAUUUAAUUAGAAACUUAUUGUCAAAGGAAGUUUGUUUAUUUUUUAUAUGGUCGUGCGCACUGGUUAAUUCAGUUCAGGUCGUAUGUUUAUCUUUCCUUGCUAGCCGAUUAAUAAUACUUAGUAUGUUUUAGUCAUGAUAUAUGUUUAUACUCUGUUGCCCCCUCUUUUAUGCUAUCUUGCAAAGGGGAUGCUGCCGAAAUUUUAUAUAUGGACGUCGGAAGUGUAGUACAGUAGCAUUCCGGGUUGUUUGUGGAACCUGGAGUGUUACAGUUGGUAUCAAAGCAUAGGCUUUAGAUUCUACGCAAUUUGAAGAUAAAUUUGACACACUUGCACAUAUAAGAAGGGUAUGGGUUCAUAUAUCUUUCAUAUUAGUAUUUUAUUGUAUAGAUGACUAGAAUUUCCUUACUCCAAACCCCUUUAUGGUUUGAUGAGGUAUGUCGUUAGCGACGUAAUGCUUGAUAUGAAAUGUUACUCCUAUUUAAUAUUGGUUUCUGGAAGUGGUUGUUAUUGAAAUUAUUAUGCGAGUGAAGCUACUAAUGUACUUGUUUUAUAUACAUAUCGUCAUGAUGUUUUUUUGGAUGCAAUGUUUACUAAUCUCUGAGCUGUUACCAUCAUAUAUUUCUAUAUGCUUGACUGUGGAUGUUUUUUUUCCCAAAAGGAUUCUUGGGUUCUAGUACUUGUAGGACCGAUUGUUUAUUGAGCUUGUGUAUAGAGGAUCUAAUCCGACUUGGUGUAGUGUGAAAACACUAUACAAUGAAGUUUUAUGGUGUUGUUGAGUUUGAUUGACUGUUGGGUUACAACCCAACUUAUCAAUGUGAUAUUUCCAUGGGUGCAGUGCUUUUCACCUCACCUUUUUUUGGCUAGUGUGGCUACUUGCCAACUUGAUCUUAGAGUACAAUAGGUUUGUCUCCAUAGAGCAAAGGCAAUGUUGUACUGUCUAUGAAAUCUUGAGACUAGAAGAACUCAAGUGAAUUUGCAAGAUGACGUGGAUAGAUAAGUUCAACCAUGUUUACAUGAUAGGUUUUCUUAUUGUGUGCAACCUUAUCCUUAAUAAUAAAUAGGGUGAUUUCAAGUGGAUUUUAUGUCUAUAUUAUAGUUGAAGAGGCAUGCAUGUUUUCCUUCUAUGGUUUGUUUCUAUAGCCAAAAAGGUUAUGCAUAAUUUUUAUUUGUUGGAGGCUAGUCAUGCGGACGAUAUGGACAACCCGUUUUAUAUUGUUUUUAAUCGCCGAUGAUACAUGGUAGUUUUUUUAUAUGAUCAGUUCUCCAUGCAUGCUUGUGGAAUUAUUAUUUGGACCGCUUUAUCUUAAACAAAGUCAAUGUUUAACUGGAAGUUGCUUAUGUUUGUUAGUCAUCUAUCUCUAUAAUGAUGUGGUUGUUGCAUUAGAUGGAGAUUUUUAUUAUAUGAAUGAUGGUUUGAUAGAUCAUGUAUGUCUACUACUUUGAAUUCAUCCUAUGACAUCACUAGGUACAAAUUGUUCAAGUGCAAUAAUAGGAGGUAUUGUUGUAUGUGAGGUUAAUCAAAGUAGUUGGGUUAGGUGGAUUAUCUUAUUGAAGUCCAAUUACUCCUGUUGAGCAUAGUAUCGUGUUAUUAUUUUAGUGUUGAAAGUAAUAUUUAUGAAGCUUUUGUAUGAGUCUGUGUCAAGAAGUACAUUAAUUCUUCUUGUUGUUAUCCCUCCAUUGCUUUAUGAGUAUUGCAAAUUUUAUCUCUUUUGAGAGGGGGAAAAGAUGUUAUAUGACAUGAGCACCAUUUGCUUCACAUCAACAGAAUAGUUUUGGAGAUUUCUAGUAGUUGGAUUCUAGUGUAAUAACAACCAUGUUUUAUAGUGCUGGAGACGGGUAUGUCAGGUGUUUCAUACAUUGUCGAUACAUGGAUGUUUGACCUUAGUGGCAUUAACAAAUGAGGUUGUUGAAUUCAUUGAUUGUUGUGCUUAGUGUUCUAACCUAUUUGGUAGAGUGUUAUUUAAAGACUUUGUGGAGUUGCAUCCCAGUUUGGUAGUGGAAAAUCCUAGUGUUGAUGGCACAUGCCAAUGACUUGGGUUUUGAUUUUAUCUUGUUUUUUUUUAUUUUGUUGAUAAUGUGUUGUUUGGUUUCGGGAGGCAUUUUAAAUUAGUUGGAGGCUGAAUCAGGCUUCACUUAUCUAGAAUGUUUUGUAGUAUGUUUCUGCAUCUUUCCAUAGGAUGCUUAAUCACCAUGUUUGGUCUAAACAUUUGAGAGAUAUGGGUUUCUUAAAACAUCUUUGUUGGUGUCUCUAGCAGAGUGGGUCUUUAAUUUUGUACGGAAGAGUAGACAUUGAAGACAAUAUCAUUUGGUCUUUGUGGAUUAUGAAAGUUUUAGUAAUUUCAUGAUCUUUUCAAAGAGUAUGGGUUUCUAAUUCUCAUUGCAUAUAAUUGGAGUUAGGUUGCUCUGAAGUGUUGCACUGUUGUGUCUGAACUUUAGGCGUCGUUAUUAUCACCAAUAAAUCGACCGCGUUUUGAUAGUUGCAGAGCACAAAUUUGCGAAUUCUCUUUAAGCAAAACUUGUAGGUCUUUUCAGUACCUUUUUAAUGGGUAUUUACUUAUAACUGUCUGUUAAAUAGAUUUGGAGAGGUGGUUGCCCGGAUAUAAGUCGAAUCUCUAAUGUGCAGUAUCUCAGGCUGAGUUUAGCUGUAGGUCCUGCAGAGUUGUGGGCUAUAAGGAUAAAUUUGGGUGCAACUUUAUUGCAAAAGUCGUGGACAAUUUUCAAAACUUUUCCAACGCGGGUUCGUUGUAGUUUAAGUUGAGUAUAGCAGGAGUUAUAGGUUUUUGAAUUUUAGUUGUCCAUUGUUUCAAUCUUAUCAGUUUUGAAACAAAAGAGUUGCAUUGUUUUAUCGGUUUGGAAACCAAUUCCGAGACACUCAUUAUAAUAAAAGUUCUAGGGAAUGUUAUAAUCUUUUCAGUGAGUUUAUAUUUGCAAAAUUUUGUUAGCUGCAGGGAGUUAUGAUAUCAUGUAUAGAAUGUGCUUGGAUGAAUAUGUGGGCAGACAUAACAUGCUUAAAUUGAUUCUUGUUUGCAUGAUGUGAGAUUAGGCUUAAAUGAUUUAAAAAGUUAUCAUAUUACUUCUAUACUUAUAUUUGUUCUAGGUGUCUCGUAAUGAAGAACCUAAAGUUAUUAGUCUUACAAUGAACGCUUAAUCUUAGAAGAGUAAUGAACCUGAUAAAAUAUAUUGCUUGCUAUUGGGACUGCAUGACCAGUUGUAGUUAUGCAGCUAGUUCAGUGAAGUAAACCAUCUUUUCUGUCGAGAUGUUAUAUAUAAAAGUUGUAGCCAACUUCUUUAUCUUACUUGUGUAAAAAUUUCAUGACCAUAGGUCUAGUAGUUUGGGAGUUAUGAUUUUCUCAAGUCCAGUCUUGAAAUAUGUGCAGAUUCUAUACAGAUUUCGAAGCUGACCUUGUUUGCCCAAUUUAAACUUCGAAUAACUUAUUAUAAAUUAUAAAGAAGUUGUAGUACUUUUUCUUAAUCGUUACAACAAAUUUUGGAUUAAUUUUUUUUUUUUUGGAGAUCUAUAAGUUAAGUUACAGCUGAUUUAAGUGUGAUCUCUGAAUCUGUCCAAAUUUGGACAGCAGAGCCUUUCUCGUGUCUUUUGACCUUAAUAUGCAUUGAAUUAACUUGAUAUGUUUAUAAAUGAAUUAUAGACAAUUCUACUAGCUUUCUAAAAAGUCUAGGAGCACCUGAAUUGGAUGAUUGAGACUCCAAUUAUGGAUUUUUUGAAUUGAGUAGUUGAGUUAUGUCCAAGUCUGGACAGAAUUUACGUUUAGCACUGUUUGACCUUUCUAAGUGUCAAAUCUUGUUGUGAUGAUAAUACCAAGGGUAUAGUGGACUUUAUAAGUUUUCCAUAAAGUCCUAGUUUACUAAUUUUCGAUGCAUAUUUUGUGAGUUAGGAGCAAAACAAUCAACCACUGUGCUGCUAUCUAGAAAUAUGCAAGCAUUAAGUUGCUCUCUUGAAGUUGCUCUUGUGUGGCUAAGUUUGGUUUAGCCUAUAGGAACAUUAUAUGCCUUGCAUUCAUAUAUACAUUCCUUGAAGUACUUGCAUAUGUCAAUGAUUGAUUUGGUGUCAGGAAAGCUUGGUCCGAGGUAUAUAGGACCGUCUGCUAUCUUGGCCGAGUUGGCAGCUGGGCUUAGCACAUGUAAUUGUCGGAAUCUGUGAUCAGAGUACACCAAGUAUUCCAUGUCUUUUUGUUGACGAAGUAUUUGCGGAAUCCAGACCAUCAAAUCGAGCUAGAGCCGAUUCCUCUGUAGCAAGAGCAGACUCUAGAGUGUCGUCUACUGCGUAUCUUAGAAUCCUAGGAGCUUGAGGAGCUGAUGCGGCAGAAGUACUCGAACUUUUCUUUUUGUGUGAGUUUUGUUGAUUCAUUAACCUUUCUUUUGUUGUUCCGAUAGAAGCGUCAGAAUUCGAGGUCGAAUUCUUUUUAAGAGGGGUAGAGUGUGAUACCCGGUUUGCAAAGAAGAGAAGUUGGGGGUUGUUCUUUUUGUUUUUUUUCCUCAUCCGGUUGUUGUUUUGGGGAUUUGGGAUUUUGUGGAAAACAUUCACAACUAGGGCAGUAGAAUUUAUUUGGUUUGACGCUUGCGUUGCGGUCGGGAGUUGUCGCGUGGGUUAGUUGGGCCGCAAUUGGAGUUUCGGCCCAUUAACCCUCCCAAACCCUAGCCGCCUCUCUCCUAACCCCUCCCCCCCAUGUGCAGCCGCCCCCCCACUUCUCCUCCUCCCCUUGGCCGCCGCCCCCCUGCCCAUCUCUUCCUCUCUCAAUUUUUGCAGCCACCAAACCCUAGCCGCCCCCCCUCCCAAUCCCCUCCUCCCAAGGUGCCAAUCCUUGCCGCUCGGAUCAUCGUCGUCGUGGUGCGAGUCUUCAAUCGUUUUGGUGGAGGGAAGAAGGGAGGAAGGAAAGGGGAGAAUCCAAGGUGGUGGACUUCCGGAUCGUACUUAGGGAUUUGCCCGAACUUCCGGUAAAGGCAAGUAAAUACAGUGGUGGUUGCUACCGUUUGGUUUGCAUCCUAUUCCCUGUCAUUGAGUAUGCAUAAGUUUUAAUUAUGUUAAUCAUUGAAUUCUAUGAUGAAGUUUAUUUGUUUGGAAGUAUUAAUUCUCAAUUGUCUAAUAUUGUGGAUGAUCAUAAUUUGGUAAUGAUAUAUGUGGUUGAUUCCCAUCUGGAUGAAGUUGAAGUGUCUUUUGAAUCAUGUUAUAUGAAGUGUUGUAGGCAUGACAUGCACAUCGCAUCAUUCAUCUUGCAUUUUGAAGUUAUGUCGUGAUCUUAUGGUCCGACCGUACCGGUACAUUUUUAGCAUCGUACGUUGCCCGAGGAGGGGUACGAUGCGGCUUCAUAUCCUUAGAGGUAUGAAGGCAGAAGUCAUCCUUGCAUUUGCAGACAUUUGCACUCAUGAGGAAUAUAUGAAGUGUGACAUUACUAUGUUACUAUUGUGGUUUCUACCUGCGAGGUGUGGUAACUAGGUGCGUUGUACGUUGUAUACGUGUUGCACCUUCGUAAUAGGAAGGUUGUGGAAUCAAGUGGUGGUAAAACAAUGUUCUUAUGUGGUUAAACUGUUUGAUAUUAUUUUACUUGCUGAGAUGUGUCAUCUCACUCUUGCAUUACUCAAUGCAGGUACUUGAUACAUGUUGGGAAUGAGGGGAGUAGCAGCACGUCCACUUUCACUCUCACAAUAACGCUGCCCAGGCGCAGCCAUGAUUUAAUUAGAAACUUAUUGUCAAAGGAAGUUUGUUUAUUUUUUAUAUGGUCGUGCGCACUGGUUAAUUCAGUUCAGGUCGUAUGUUUAUCUUUCCUUGCUAGCCAAUUAAUAAUACUUAGUAUGUUUUAGUCAUGAUAUAUGUUUAUACUCUGUUGCCCCCUCUUUUAUGCUAUCUUGCAAAGGGGAUGCUGCCGAAAUUUUAUAUAUGGACGUCGGAAGUGUAGUACAGUAGCAUUCCGGG
This 6902-nucleotide long non-coding RNA is filed under the name Zea mays. RNAcentral's name for it is "long non-coding RNA (ZMAY_LNC001781)". Lineage: Eukaryota; Viridiplantae; Streptophyta; Magnoliopsida; Poales; Poaceae. The record is from RNAcentral.